RNAcentral lists this transfer RNA (89 nucleotides) under Egibacter rhizosphaerae. Its description in RNAcentral is "tRNA-Ser". It matches the Rfam family "tRNA". Rfam says of the family: Transfer RNA (tRNA) molecules are approximately 80 nucleotides in length. Their secondary structure includes four short double-helical elements and three loops (D, anti-codon, and T loops). The record is from RNAcentral. Lineage: Bacteria; Bacillati; Actinomycetota; Nitriliruptoria; Egibacterales; Egibacteraceae.
GGGGGCGUGCCCGAGCGGCCGAAGGGGCUCGCCUGGAAAGCGAGCAGGCGUCCUGCGCCUCGAGGGUUCGAAUCCCUCCGCCCCCGCCA